RNAcentral lists this ribosomal RNA (433 nucleotides) under uncultured bacterium. RNAcentral describes it as "partial 16S ribosomal RNA". It matches the Rfam family "Bacterial small subunit ribosomal RNA", at positions 29 to 507 of the family's 1533-position model. The record is from RNAcentral.
AACGAACGCUGGCGGCAUGCCUAACACAUGCAAGUCGAACGAAACCUUCGGGUUUAGUGGCGCACGGGUGCGUAACGCGUGGGAACCUGCCCUUUGGUUCGGAAUAACUCCCCGAAAGGGGUGCUAAUACCGGAUAUUGUCUUCGGACCAAAGAUUUAUCGCCUUUGGAUGGGCCCGCGUUGGAUUAGCUAGUUGGUAGGGUAACAGCCUACCAAGGCGACGAUCCAUAGCUGGUCUGAGAGGAUGAUCAGCCACACUGGGACUGAGACACGGCCCAGACUCCUACGGGAGGCAGCAGUGGGGAAUAUUGGACAAUGGGCGAAAGCCUGACCCAGCAAUGCCGCGUGAGUGAUGAAGGCCUUAGGGUUGUAAAGCUCUUUUACCCGGGACGAUAAUGACAGUACCGGGAGAAUAAGCUCCGGCUAACUCCGUG